Molecule: long non-coding RNA, 180 nt
Organism: Maniola jurtina (meadow brown)
Lineage: Eukaryota; Metazoa; Arthropoda; Insecta; Lepidoptera; Nymphalidae
Exons: 3
Source: RefSeq, a predicted model, not a curated record
AAAUAUUGCACAUCGAACUUUAGAAAGAGAUUUCUGCUGCGUGAAGCAUUAUCCUUGUCACUCAUACUUAUGUAACGUUUUGUCGGUCGUAAAGACAGAGACAACGCUCUACGCAACCGCUAUCUCUUUCUAAAGUUCGAUGUGCAAUAUUUCCUGCCGGGUACUUACUGCAGCGUUAAU